CGGCGGGGCGGGGCGGGGCCGGGGGCGGGGCCGGCGGCGCCCACACGGAAGCGGCAGCAGCGCCCGCGGCCGCCUCAGGCGAUGCUGCGGCCCGGGCCCUUCGGGCGGCUGAAGGCGGCGGUGGUCGGGAUGGUGCACGUGGCAGCGCUGCCAGGGACACCAAGAAGUUCUUUUCCAUUGACCCAGAUCAUUGAUCAAGCUUGUCAAGAGGCAGAAGCUUACAAGGAUGCUGGAGUUGAUGGCUUGAUAGUAGAGAACAUGCAUGAUCUUCCUUACAUGGUGUGUCCUGGGCCCGAAGUCACUGCUGCAAUGACAGUCAUUAGUGCUGCUGUGAGACAAACCUGCCCACGCCUGGCGCUGGGUGUCCAGGUCCUGUCUGCUGCAAACCAGGAGGCGGUGGCUGUUGCUCUUGCUGCAGGUCUUGAUUUUAUCCGGGCUGAAGGGUUUGUGUUUUCUCAUGUUGCUGAUGAAGGGAUUAUAAAUGCCUGUGCAGGUAACCUGCUACGAUACAGGAAACAGAUUGGAGCAGAGAACAUUCAGAUUUUUGCUGAUAUUAAAAAGAAACAUAGCGCUCAUGCUCUGACGGCCGAUGUCGGCGUGGCUGAGACUGCGGCGGCUGCCGAGUUCUUCCUGGCUGACGGGGUCGUACUGACUGGCACAGCCACUGGAUUGCCUGCCCAUCCUCAGGAGCUGAAAGAGGUUAAGCAUGCUGUGAAGAUUCCUGUGUUGAUUGGGUCUGGAGUGACUCUGGAGAAUGUGACAAAUUACUUGGAUGCAGAUGCUCUAAUAAUUGGCAGCACAUCUCUGUGGCACCCAAAGCCAUUGCCAGUGCAAAAAUCUCUGAAGGCUUGUGUAGUAUAUUCUCUCCUAUAAGAAAAAUGCUAAUGGAGUUUAAGAAUUUGUAAUAAAUAUUCAUCACAGCAAGCUCCUACAGUGUUGUACCUCUCCAGACUAAUAUUACUGAUGUUAACUACCAGGUUCCUUCCAAUACACAAGGUGUAAUUAUGAUGGAAACCUUUCUGCCAAAGCUGACAGGGGCUGGAAGUGGAUGGAAACUCAGAGCUGGGAGCUGAUGCUUUCCUUCCUGCAGAGGCUGUGAUCCCCUUCUCUAUGUCACUGUGCUGAAUGACCUUGUACUAAGAGCUGAUACCUGAAUUACAGUGGCAGAUCCAGCCAGAACACUCAGUCCUGUCCAGGAGAAUGCAGCCAGCAGAGCUGUCCCUUCUCCCGUGAGUUUUCCCGACUGGCAGACACGGAGCUAAACCCCCGCCAUGGCGAGGGGAGGGCAGCCACCAGAUGGAGCCUGCUGGGGAGACCCGCCUAGAGAACAUCUAUCGCAGGUCUUGCUGCUUCAGUGAGACCAACAACAGGACUUGUGAGCUGUUAUUGAGCCCAGACUCUCAGAAUGGUGGGACGUGUGCUGUGCUGAUUUGUGUGUGUGGGUUCAAGCUCACCGAGAAGAGCAGCAGGCAUGCUAGCAGCUGCUGGCUCGGAACUACCUACAGAAUAAAAACUUAAUCCAGCUGGGAACAAUGACCAGAUUCCCACUGACUUUUAAAAGAAUCAGAAUUUCUCUGAGAGUGUAGUAAUGGUUUACAGUGGCAUGUACAGCCUUAAAGGAUACAGUCUUCACUGUUGUCUUGUAUUUUCAUUUUACUAACUUCUGCCACAGAAGAAAAUAGAUCUAAUAAAUGCCUGCUGGUGUAGCCCUAAUAA
Molecule: RNA transcript, 1716 nt
Organism: Apus apus (common swift)
Lineage: Eukaryota; Metazoa; Chordata; Aves; Apodiformes; Apodidae
Exons: 11
Source: RefSeq, a predicted model, not a curated record